GUAGGUGGCUUUAAAUGGGCUAAGGUAGGUGGCUUUAAAUGGGCUAAGGUAGGUGGCUUUAAAUGGGCUAAGGUAGGUGGCUUUAAAUGGGCUAAGGUAGGUGGCUUUAAAUGGGCUAAGGUAGGUGGCUUUAAAUGGGCUAAGGUAGGUGGCUUUAAAUGGGCUAAGGUAGGUAGGUGGCUUUAAAUGGGCUAAGGUAGGUAGGUGGCUUUAAAUGGGCUAAGGUAGGUGGCUUUAAAUGGGCUAAGGUAGGUGGCUUUAAAUGGGCUAAGGUAGGUGGCUUUAAAUGGGCUAAGGUAGGUGGCUUUAAAUGGGCUAAGGUAGGUAGGUGGCUUUAAAUGGGCUAAGGUAGGUAGGUGGCUUUAAAUGGGCUAAGGUAGGUGGCUUUAAAUGGGCUAAGGUAGGUGGCUUUAAAUGGGCUAAGGUAGGUGGCUUUAAAUGGGCUAAGGUAGGUAGGUGGCUUUAAAUGGGCUAAGGUAGGUAGGUGGCUUUAAAUGGGCUAAGGUAGGUGGG
This is a long non-coding RNA of Oncorhynchus tshawytscha (Chinook salmon), 513 nucleotides long. RefSeq lists it as uncharacterized. The record is from RefSeq and is a predicted model, not a curated record. The transcript is spliced from 8 exons. NCBI's taxonomy places the organism in Eukaryota, Metazoa, Chordata, Actinopteri, Salmoniformes, Salmonidae.